This 200-nucleotide unclassified non-coding RNA is filed under the name Plectosphaerella sp. Its description in RNAcentral is "partial internal transcribed spacer 2". The record is from RNAcentral. Lineage: Eukaryota; Fungi; Ascomycota; Sordariomycetes; Glomerellales; Plectosphaerellaceae.
UUAGUCUAGCGCGUAUUCCUACCUGAUCCGAGGUCAACCUUGGUGCCGCCGAGGCGGGCUUGUGGGGGGUUUAGAGGCAGGACGCCGAGGACUCCCGAUGCGAGGCGAAUGCUACUGCGCAAAGGAGAGGGCCCUUCGGGUCCGCCACUGGUUUUAGGGGCCUGCCGUGGCAGAUCCCCAACGCCGGGCCACAGGGGCUC